GCUUGACUCAUUCGUGGAAAAUAGAGCACCUAGCAAGGGGAUCGCUUGACUCAUUCGUGGAAAAUAGAGCACCUACAAUCUUCAACAAAAAAUGCCAAAUUGCGUUCAACUACGUGGGCUUGUCUUACGAAGAUUUCUAGCCGUCAAACGACCGCUGCAGCACAAGGCCAUGAAGGGCUGGCUCAAGUACGCUGUAUCGGCAACAUGGUUGGUUGCGCUUUUGAGCGUAGAAAGUGCGAUGUCGAUGUGCCUGGUAGAGCGAGGUGAUGGAAAAGUCUUCUGUGGA
This is a long non-coding RNA of Nematostella vectensis (starlet sea anemone), 286 nucleotides long. RefSeq lists it as uncharacterized. The record is from RefSeq and is a predicted model, not a curated record. NCBI's taxonomy places the organism in Eukaryota, Metazoa, Cnidaria, Anthozoa, Actiniaria, Edwardsiidae. The transcript has 3 exons.